UAAAGCCCUUAAUGACAAGACAUGGCAUGUGGCGGCUGCCUGUUCCAUAUGCCACCCCAUCUUCAGUUAAUUUCUGAGUGGAUGGGAUACUUUCAGCUAUUCAAAUGAUGAUUAUUGACCCAGUCUCUCCAAUCCAAUCCUGCCUUCUCCACAUGGAAGACAGCUAAGAAAACUGCUCAGAUUUCCUUUUUUCAACCUCCCUGCUGCCAGCUUUCCUCCUCCCUUCUAUCCCAUAGGAAGCCAAGAGGCUGCUUGAGUUUCCUCUGUGGGGUAUGUGUCCCACCUGGCUUCUUCCUCUCCUGUUCGGCAACAGGUGGUUAUUUUUGUACUGUCGGCACUCCCUACCCCCGGAUGUCAGAAUUCAUUCCCAGUGGAAAUGAAGACAUUUGAGUUUCUUCCAGACUUCAAUGGGAAGAAACUGAGAAGGUAAUGCUUCCUCCCAACUCCCCCCACUCGCUCCCAAAAAAGGGACACGAGAAGCUAAGGGACAAUAUGAUCAAAAUGAUACGCAACCUUCAUCAAUAUAUU
Molecule: long non-coding RNA, 528 nt
Organism: Myotis myotis
Lineage: Eukaryota; Metazoa; Chordata; Mammalia; Chiroptera; Vespertilionidae
Exons: 3
Source: RefSeq, a predicted model, not a curated record